This 2833-nucleotide long non-coding RNA is filed under the name Zea mays. RNAcentral's name for it is "long non-coding RNA (ZMAY_LNC002209)". Lineage: Eukaryota; Viridiplantae; Streptophyta; Magnoliopsida; Poales; Poaceae. The record is from RNAcentral.
UCUUCUCCUGAGCAGUGGUUGCAAUGUGGACAACCUGGUGUUUUGUGGUAAAGCAAGGAUGAGUACACAUCAACGUACUCAGCAAAUGCCCCGUUUGGCUGAAGUGGACUAGCUUUUUAUGUGGGGUUAGGCUCAAGCAGUUGCUUUUAGUUGGUCAGGUAUCUAUUGUUAGUAGAAGCCAGAUUUUAUCAUAAAACCCAAGUUAUAAUCCCAACAAGUACCUCCUCAGAGAGGAAAUACUAGAAUUCAUAAUUAAAGUCACCAUCAUAAGUCACUAUCAUUAACCAUCAUCACUAAAGUCAUCAUCUGAGGCGUAUCCAGAGUAUUUCUAAUCAAAGAGGAUCCCAAGGCUGCUCUUAACCGUGAGCACGACUGAUAUAUCAGUUUCAUUACCCUCUGCAGAGGUCGCACACUUUACCCAUGAGCCGUGAUUCCCGUUUUGCCUGGGGAUCAUGACUCCCCAUUGAUCACUUCCUAGGUGGUCCGGCAGGGUAUCACUACGUAGCUUUUACAAAGAUUCCCUAGAGGUCCUAGUCGCCCGUUAGGUUUCUCCAGUUUGAUAAACACAGUACCUCUCCCCGAAGGGGGGUGACUAACAAAAGCAAAAUGAAAGAACCUCGGCACCCAGCCUCGGCAGAGCAAGCACUGUGCCUGGACCCCAUUGACAGCACGACGGCGAAGCAACUACACCUCUAGUUCCUCUAAUUAAUUAGCUAAGGUCCCCCCAUUUCACCCUCAUGGUUGCACUGUUAUCCCGGGUGGUCUCUCAACGAACAGGUCCUUACGGAGAGGCACUCGAGAAACCGCUCGAGCCCCCUUAAAGGCCACAAGUAUAACAUCAUAAUAAGAAGAGGGAAAACAGCGUAUCAUGAAUCAUUCUCAUCAUGUUCAUUGAUUAGAGUUGAGCAAUAGCAUAAGACCAAGCAAUAAUAAUCCAACCCAGAUAGGUAAACAAGGACAUGGAUAACAAAAGCUAGUUAAUCCUUAGGCAUAAAGGUAUAAAUGCGGGGAGUGAAUUAUAGACUUGCAUAGGACAUAGAUAGGUCAAGGGACACUUGCCUUCACCAAACAAAUGCUCAGGGUCUUCAACCUCGUAGAACUCAAAGAACUUGAUCUCAGGAGCAGCGGUUCACCAAAUCUUGAUCGUCGAUUCCUCGAAGCUCAGGAAUAGAUCGCAAUCUAUUCAUGACGCGCAACGAAUACAAACAAGCACAAGCAAACAUAUACUUGCAUAAGAACAUUACACCAUACAAGAUAAAAUAUUAUCAAAACGAGCAAUAUAAAAAUAGAGAGCGCUUCUACGGUUACGCAGGAAUAAGAAACGCGACGGUCGAAGCUACGAUCGAGAAGUCGUAACGUUACGCUACGCAGGUAAUAGUCAGGACAUUUAAUUCGACAUUAUCAAAUAUAAAUAAUAUCUAUCAUUUAGUUUCGAUUAACCUGCUACACUAACAUUUGUCAGUUAACUAAGUAAUUUAAUUAACAUAAGAGAUUCUAAGCGAGGCGAAUUUAUGACGCGUGAAACAACACGACAGCGUGCAAACGACGCGCGGACACGCGUGACAUAGCACGCCGACGACACACGAAACAGCGCGCGCGAACGACGCGUGAACCAGCACGCCACCACGUGCGGAACAUCACGCGUGACAGACGAGGAAAACUAAAUAGAUGACGCGUUUAUACCAAACCAAUAUUAAAUAAUUAAAAGCAGUUAAGUUAAUAUUGGUCAUGUUAAUAUUUAUUAUAAAAGCACAGUUGAGCACUACAUGUUUAAUAUAAUUUAAAUAUUAGUUUAAUAAAUAUUAGUCAAGCGAACCUUAAGUUAAUUAUCUAACAUAUAUGACCUGACGGAUUAACGUUACUAACAUGAGUGCUUAUAAGCGAAAACAAUUUAUUAUCACGCGCGUACGCCGCGCGACACACGCGAUCGACACGCGAGAUACGCGCUAACGACACGUGGCAGGGCGAGCGACACGUGCAAAUGGCACACGCGACGCGCACACACGACGUGUGACGACACGCGACACUUAACGUGACAGCACGCGAAACAACGCGCACGACAGUGUGUGACACGCGCGAGUCAAUGCGACUACGUGAGCGAACAGCACGAUGACACGUAAACGAUGCUGCGCACGAACAAUAACAAACAAGUAAAUAAUUAAAAAUAUUUAAGCUGGUAGUAAUCAAGUUAAUUAAUAUUUAUAUUUAUAAAAGCACGAGUUGAAACUAUAGACUCGUUCUAAUUAAAUUGUUAUUUUAAAUAACCAACAACUAAACAAGAAUUGACUAAUUAGCAUGAGCGACCAUAACAGAAAUAACUAAAUAUUGCGCGGACAGCGCGCGAGACCCACACGGUCGACAAGAGACGACGCACGCUGCAACACGUUUAUACUAACAAGUAUUAAUUCGAAAAUAUUCGAGCAGGCGUAACCAUAUUAACAAGUAUCUAUAAAGUGAAUCUAAAACUAUAAAUUAGUUCGAUUAGAUUGCUACUUUUAAUAAUUAUCAAAUAAAUGAUAAAUCAAUUAAUUAAUAUUAGAAUGUACAUCGAGAUAAAUUAAUGCUACUUACUACGUUGUUAAUAUGAAUUUACGAAACCGACGUAAAUGAAACAAGUCAAAACGGACUUGCAACACAAAAUAUAUUAGAUAUUUAAUGGUUCGCGGAAUUUAAACGAUGUGACACAAUUUUAUUAAGGCGGGAAUAGCGACUCGCGGCGAACGACGACAAGGCGACGACAUCUCACGCAGGGAUAGACGAGAGGAGAGAGAGAAGGGUAGAUGCGGACCUUGGGGCGAGCUCGAACGAAGGUGGCUCCAGUGGGCGAGGCUGG